Molecule: ribosomal RNA, 447 nt
Filed under: uncultured bacterium
Lineage: Bacteria
Description: bacterial SSU rRNA
Rfam family: Bacterial small subunit ribosomal RNA
Source: RNAcentral
AACGAACGCUGGCGGCAGGCCUAACACAUGCAAGUCGAACGCCGUAGCAAUACGGAGUGGCAGACGGGUGAGUAACACGUGGGAACAUACCCUUCGGUUCGGAAUAACUCAGGGAAACUUGAGCUAAUACCGGAUACGUCCGCGAGGAGAAAGAUUCAUCGCCGGAGGAUUGGCCCGCGUCUGAUUAGCUUGUUGGUGAGGUAAUGGCUCACCAAGGCGACGAUCAGUAGCNGGUCUGAGAGGAUGAUCAGCCACAUUGGGACUGAGACACGGCCCAAACUCCUACGGGAGGCAGCAGUGGGGAAUAUUGGACAAUGGGCGCAAGCCUGAUCCAGCCAUGCCGCGUGAGUGAUGAAGGCCCUAGGGUUGUAAAGCUCUUUUGUGCGGGAAGAUAAUGACGGUACCGCAAGAAUAAGCCCCGGCUAACUUCGUGCCAGCAGCCGCAGU